AGUGAACGCUGGCGGUAGGCCUAACACAUGCAAGUCGAACGGCAGCACAGUAAGAGCUUGCUCUUACGGGUGGCGAGUGGCGGACGGGUGAGGAAUACAUCGGAAUCUACUUUUUCGUGGGGGAUAACGUAGGGAAACUUACGCUAAUACCGCAUACGACCUACGGGUGAAAGCAGGGGAUCUUCGGACCUUGCGCGAUUGAAUGAGCCGAUGUCGGAUUAGCUAGUUGGCGGGGUAAAGGCCCACCAAGGCGACGAUCCGUAGCUGGUCUGAGAGGAUGAUCAGCCACACGGGAACUGAGACACGGUCCAGACUCCUACGGGAGGCAGCAGUGGGGAAUAUUGGACAAUGGGCGCAAGCCUGAUCCAGCCAUACCGCGUGGGUGAAGAAGGCCUUCGGGUUGUAAAGCCCUUUUGUUGGGAAAGAAAAGCAGCAGGUUAAGACCCCGCUGUUCUGACGGUACCCAAAGAAUAAGCACCGGCUAACCUCGU
This 491-nucleotide ribosomal RNA is filed under the name uncultured bacterium. Its description in RNAcentral is "partial 16S ribosomal RNA". It matches the Rfam family "Bacterial small subunit ribosomal RNA", at positions 29 to 506 of the family's 1533-position model. The record is from RNAcentral.